GACGAACGCUGGCGGCGUGCCUAACACAUGCAAGUCGAACGGAACUUCUUUAAAGGAUUUCUUCGGAAUGAAUUUGAUUAAGUUUAGUGGCGGACGGGUGAGUAACGCGUGAGUAACCUGCCUCUAAGAGGGGAAUAACAUUCUGAAAAGAAUGCUAAUACCGCAUAAUAUAUAUUUAUCGCAUGGUAGAUAUAUCAAAGAUUUAUCGCUUAGAGAUGGACUCGCGUCCGAUUAGUUAGUUGGUGAGGUAACGGCUCACCAAGACCGCGAUCGGUAGCCGGACUGAGAGGUUGAACGGCCACAUUGGGACUGAGACACGGCCCAGACUCCUACGGGAGGCAGCAGUGGGGGAUAUUGCGCAAUGGGGGAAACCCUGACGCAGCAACGCCGCGUGAAGGAUGAAGGUCUUCAGAUUGUAAACUUCUUUUAUUAAGGACGAAGAAAGUGACGGUACUUAAUGAAUAAGCUCC
Molecule: ribosomal RNA, 470 nt
Filed under: uncultured bacterium
Lineage: Bacteria
Description: bacterial SSU rRNA
Rfam family: Bacterial small subunit ribosomal RNA
Source: RNAcentral